RNAcentral lists this ribosomal RNA (468 nucleotides) under uncultured bacterium. Its description in RNAcentral is "partial 16S ribosomal RNA". It matches the Rfam family "Bacterial small subunit ribosomal RNA", at positions 28 to 507 of the family's 1533-position model. The record is from RNAcentral.
GACGAACGCUGGCGGCGUGCUUAACACAUGCAAGUCGAACGGAAAGGCCCUGCUUUUGUGGGGUGCUCGAGUGGCGAACGGGUGAGUAACACGUGAGUAACCUGCCCUUGACUUUGGGAUAACUUCAGGAAACUGGGGCUAAUACCGGAUAGGAGCUCCUGCUGCAUGGUGGGGGUUGGAAAGUUUCGGCGGUUGGGGCUGGACUCGCGGCUUAUCAGCUUGUUUGGGGGGUAGUGGCGUACAAAGGCUUUGACGGGUAGCCGGCCUGAGAGGGUGACCGGCCACAUUGGGACUGAGAUACGGACCAGACGCGUACGGGAGGCAGCAGUGGGGAAUAUUGCACAGUGGGCGGAAGCCUGAUGCAGCAACGCCGCGUGCGGGAUGACGGCCUUCGGGUUGUAAACCGCUUUCGCCUGUGACGAAGCGUGAGUGACGGUAAUGGGUAAAGAAGCACCGGCUAACUACGUG